UUCCAAAUUUAUGUAAAUUUGUGGGUAGGU
This 30-nucleotide non-coding RNA is filed under the name Mus musculus (house mouse). Lineage: Eukaryota; Metazoa; Chordata; Mammalia; Rodentia; Muridae. The record is from RNAcentral.